This 408-nucleotide ribosomal RNA is filed under the name uncultured Basidiomycota. Its description in RNAcentral is "partial 18S ribosomal RNA". The stretch from base 95 to 408 matches the Rfam family "Eukaryotic small subunit ribosomal RNA", at positions 1 to 327 of the family's 1831-position model. The record is from RNAcentral. Lineage: Eukaryota; Fungi; Basidiomycota.
UUACGCCAAGCUAUUUAGGUGACACUAUAGAAUACUCAAGCUAUGCAUCCAACGCGUUGGGAGCUCUCCCAUAUGGUCGACCUGCAGGCGGCCGCACUAGUGAUUGUAGUCAUAUCUUGUCUCAAAGAUUAAGCCAUGCAUGUCUAAGUUUAAGCAAUAAACGGUGAAACUGCGAAUGGCUCAUUAAAUCAGUCAUAGUUUAUUUGAUGGUACCCUACUACAUGGAUAACUGUGGUAAUUCUAGAGCUAAUACAUGCUGAAAAAUCCCGACUUCUGGAAGGGAUGUAUUUAUUAUAUCCAAAACCAAUGGCCUUCGGGUCCCUAUGGUGAAUCAUGAUAACUGCUCGAAUCGCAUGGCCUUGCGCCGGCGAUGCUUCAUUCAAGUAUCUGCCCUAUCAACUUUCGAUG